GAUGAAGAACGUAGCGAAAUGCGAUAAGUAAUGUGAAUUGCAGAAUUCAGUGAAUCAUCGAGUCUUUGAACGCACAUUGCGCCCCCUGGUAUUCCGGGGGGCAUGCCUGUCCGAGCGUCAUUGCUGCCCUCAAGCACGGCUUGUGUGUUGGGCCUCCGUCCUCCUCCCGGGGGACGGGCCCGAAAGGCAGCGGCGGCACCGCGUCCGGUCCUCGAGCGUAUGGGGCUUCGUCACCCGCUCUUGUAGGCCCGGCCGGCGCUUGCCGACACAUCAAUCUUUUUUCCAGGUUGACCUCGGAUCAGGUAGGGAUACCCGCUGAACUUAAGCUUAUCAAUAAGCGGAGGA
Molecule: unclassified non-coding RNA, 345 nt
Filed under: soil metagenome
Description: partial contains 5.8S ribosomal RNA, internal transcribed spacer 2, and large subunit ribosomal RNA
Rfam family: 5.8S ribosomal RNA (bases 1-120)
Source: RNAcentral